RNAcentral lists this ribosomal RNA (215 nucleotides) under uncultured bacterium. RNAcentral describes it as "partial 16S ribosomal RNA". It matches the Rfam family "Bacterial small subunit ribosomal RNA", at positions 116 to 334 of the family's 1533-position model. The record is from RNAcentral.
CGUGGGUACCUACCCCCAAACGAUGAGGGAAUAACCACCGAGAAAUCGGUGACAAGACCGCAUACGCUCGUGUACGCGAGCAAAGCUUCGCAAGAGGCGUCUUAGGAUGGGCCUGCGCCUGAUUAGCUAGUUGGGGAGGUAACGGCUUCCCAAGGCGACGAUCAGUAGCUGGUCUGAGAGGAUGAUCAGCCACACUGGGAUUGAGAACGGCCCAG